CAUUAGAUGUCUUGUCCUCAUUAAGCAGCUUUUGAGUUCGUUCCUUAUGCGGUCAAUGCCAACAAGCUCCACCGUAUCUUUAUACAUGGCAACUAGGCGAAGGUGGAUGGUAGCCACACUGCCAGUUCCAGGCAUGUCAAGUUGCAGCGCGUGGUUGAAAAAAGUUUGAAGGUGUUUAUGAAAAGAAGGAAAAUAAAGCGACGACACGUGGGGACCUGCCCUUGGGCUGUCAACGAAGCAAGUUUGGUAGGCACACAACACGCUUUUCUUCUCUGGAGGCAUGCCCUUCCUCACACCUUCAAGUCCAGAGGAACACGGAGAUGAACCUACCAAGCAGUCAGUCAGAAGCUCAAGUUCACCAACCCAGGAAAGAUAUAUAGGAACUAGCAGUAUAUCAUAGGGACGUAAUCAAAAUAGUGUUUCUUGAUUUUGCAGACAGUUCUUGAUCGCAGUAUCAUAAUAGCAAAAUCUCUGGAAAUAUUCAUGUGUAGAUACUGGAUAGUAUAGAUAGGGUAGUGAGCGUGGAAAUAUUCAUGUGUCCCCUUGCUCAGGGCCUGAGCUUGUCAUCUGUUACUUCGUAGUAUUUCAGGAUACUUCCAUGACGCCAAAUAUCUCUGGAAGUCCAUUUGCA
Molecule: long non-coding RNA, 631 nt
Organism: Hordeum vulgare subsp. vulgare (domesticated barley)
Lineage: Eukaryota; Viridiplantae; Streptophyta; Magnoliopsida; Poales; Poaceae
Exons: 2
Source: RefSeq, a predicted model, not a curated record